This 391-nucleotide ribosomal RNA is filed under the name uncultured bacterium. Its description in RNAcentral is "bacterial SSU rRNA". It matches the Rfam family "Bacterial small subunit ribosomal RNA", at positions 29 to 416 of the family's 1533-position model. The record is from RNAcentral.
AGCGAACGUUUGCGGCGGGCUUAACACAUGCAAGUCGAACGGGCUGUCCCUUCGGGGGCAGUCAGUGGCGCACGGGUGCGUAACACGUAGGUAAUCAACCCUCUGGUUGGGGAUAACACUUCGAAAGGAGUGCUAAUACCCGGUAUGGCGCAGCGGUCUUCGGAUCGCGGCGAGAAAGACCCGCAAGGGUUGCCAGAGGACGAGCCUGCGGCCCAUCAGCUAGUUGGCGAGGUAACGGCUCACCAAGGCGAAGACGGGUAGCUGGUCUGAGAGGAUGAUCAGCCACACUGGAACUGAGACACGGUCCAGACUCCUACGGGAGGCAGCAGUGGGGAAUAUUGCGCAAUGGGCGAAAGCCUGACGCAGCCACGCCGCGUGAGCGAUGAAGGCC